Molecule: RNA transcript, 4628 nt
Organism: Lagenorhynchus albirostris (white-beaked dolphin)
Lineage: Eukaryota; Metazoa; Chordata; Mammalia; Artiodactyla; Delphinidae
Gene: DCAF4
Gene name: DDB1 and CUL4 associated factor 4
Exons: 15
Source: RefSeq, a predicted model, not a curated record
AGGAAGGGGUGGCCGCCACGGCCCUAUCCGCUGAGACAACGCGAGAACGGACACAACUAACUGGCAGAUUCUAGACCUCGGUCUUUCCGCGUCCUUCUACGCUUCGCUCCCACUCUUGCCGAUCCUGCGCCCGAGGGAGAGCCGAAAAGGCCCUUCUGAUCAAGAAUAAUACAAGGGUACAGCAAAGCCCACAGAGUUCCAGCCACAGCGAUGAUGAGGCCCCGUCGACCUCCUCAAGCACAGCGGGCAGCUCUUCUGUGCCAGAUCUACCAGGUUAUUACUUUGACCCUGAAAAGAAACGCUACUUCCGCUUGCUCCCUGGACAUAACAACUGCAACCCCCUCACGAAGGAGAGCAUCCGGCAGAAGGAAAUGGAGAGCAAAAGGCUGCAGCUGCUAGAGGAAGAGGACAAGCAGGGAAAGAAAACAGCCAGGUUGGGAUUUAAUGCAUCUUCCUUACUACAAAAAAGCAAGCUGGGUUUUCUCAACGUCACCAGUUACUGCCGUUUAGCCCAUGAGCUGCGAGUGAGCUGCAUGCAGAGGAAAAAGGUCCAAAUUCAGAGCUCGGAUCCCUCCGCUUUGGCAAGUGACCGAUUUAACCUGAUACUGGCGGAUACCAACAGUGACCGGCUCUUCACCGUGAACGAUGUCAAAGUCGGAGGCUCCAAGUAUGGCAUCAUCAACCUGCGUGGCCUGAAGACCCCCACGCUCAGGGUGCACAUGCAUGAAAACCUCUACUUCACCAACCGGAAGGUGAACGCUGUGAGCUGGGCCUCGCUGAAUCACCUGGAUUCCCACAUUCUGCUGUGCCUCAUGGGAAUUGCAGAGACUCCAGGCUGUGCCACCCUGCUCCCAGCGUCAUUGUUUGUCAGUAGUCAUCCAGCAGGAGACCGGCCUGGCAUGCUCUGCAGUUUCCGGAUCCCCGGGGCCUGGUCCUGUGCGUGGUCCCUGAACAUCCAGGCAAAUAACUGCUUUAGUACAGGCUUGUCUCGGCGAGUCCUGGUGACCAGCGUGGUGACGGGACACCGGCAGUCAUUUGGGACCAGCAGUGACGUCUUGGCCCAGCAGUUUGCUGUUAUGGCUCCUUUGCUGUUUAAUGGCUGUCGUUCCGGCGAAAUCUUUGCCAUUGAUCUCCGUUGUCGAAAUCAGGGCAAGGGCUGGAAAGCCACCCGCCUGUUACAUGACUCAGCAGUUACCUCUGUGCAAAUCCUGCAAGAGGAGCAAUGCCUGAUGGCAUCCGACAUGGCUGGAACGAUCAAGCUGUGGGACCUGAGGACCACUAAGUGUAUUAGGCAGUACGAAGGGCACGUGAACGAGUAUGCCCACCUGCCCCUGCACGUGCAUGAGGAAGAAGGAAUCGUGGUGGCAGUGGGCCAGGACUGCUACACGAGAAUCUGGAGUCUCCAUGAUGCCCAGCUGCUCAGAACCAUACCCUCCCCACACCCCACUUCCAAGGCCGACAUUCCCAGUGUGGCCUUCUCUUCUCGGCUUGGGGGCUUCCGGGGAGCGCCAGGGCUGCUCAUGGCCAUCCGACAGGACCUUUACUGCUUCUCCUACAGCUAAUUCUGCAGGUUGCAGCCUGGAGAGCUGUGGAUGUGACUCAGGGGAGCAUAGUCACUGGUAUUGCACCUCUGGUGAAGAGCCUUUGCCACUAUUCUGUACUAUUUCAAUGGAGCUGUGGCUAUUCAGUCCAACUUUGAUCUCACAGACAGUGGAGACGACUGACUACUCAGAAUACCUGCCUUUCCUUUCAUUUUUAUUUAUUUUCUUUGGCCACGCCACGCUGCUUGUGGGAUCUUAGUUCCCCGACCAGGGAUUGAACCUGGGCCGUUGGCAGUGAAAGCACAGAGUCCUAACCACUGGACCUCCAGGGAAUUCCCUGGGCCCACUCCUUUAAGUCUGCCUCUCCAGGCCACCCACCACAUGGCCACUGCCACGGGAAUGACCUUCCCAAAGAUCCCUGCACUCAACGCCUUCUUGUACCUCGGAAUAAAAUGUGCGGCAUCUUGAGAUUUGAUCACAUGUGCCUCACCCUGUUGCCCCUUCUCCACCUCCCACCUGGUGCUCUCAGGACACAUGUUACAAGUCCCUCCGUCAUCUGGGCCUCUGCUCAAGCUGUCCUCCACUCCUUUCAUCUGUUGAGUCUCAGCUUCACAGAAACCUCGAGGAAGCUUAGUUUCCCCAGCACUUGCCACAUCUAGACACUUAGUAUGUUGAAUGAACCAUUUUUGCCAGCAUUAUUCCCUUUUAAUUCUUAGAACCCUACGAAGCACGUGAAGGUCACUCCUAUAUACCAAAGAAAAAGCUGAGAAUAAAGCAAUUUGUCCAAGGUCUCCUGCUAAUAAGUAGCAGAGCCAACGGGGUCUCCUGCUCAAGAAAUCUAUUAGGCCCCAUGUGUUGGAGGGAAUGGAAUUUUUACUUUUCCUCUGGAAGUUUAAGAUCUCCUUAAGAUAAUUUUCUGGGACUUCCCUGGUGGCGCAGUAGUUAAGAAUCCACUUGCCAGUGCAGGGCACACGGGUUCAAGCCUUGGCCUGGGAAGAUCCCACAUGCUGAGAGCAACUAAACCCAUGUGACACAACUACUGAGCCUGUACUCUAGAGCCCAUGAGCCACAGCCACUGAGCCCGUGUGCCACAACUACUGAAGCCCACGUGCCUAGAGCCAGUGCACCGCAACAAAGAGUAGCUCCCGCUCGCCGCAAGUAGAGAAAGCCCGGGUGCAGCAACAAAGACCCAAUGCAGCCAAAAAUAAAUUAAUUAAUUUUGGGGCUUCCCUGGUGGCGCAGUGGUUGAGUCCGCCUGCCGAUGCAGGGGACGCGGGUUCGUGCCCUGGUCCGGGAAGAUCCCACAUGCCGCAGAGCGGCUGGGCCCGUGAGCCAUGGCCGCUGAGCCCGCACGUCCAAAGCCUGUGCUCCGCAACGGGAGAGGCCACAACAGUGAGAAGCCCGCGUACCGCAAAAAAAAUUAUUAAUUUUUUAAAAAAAGAAAAGAAAAAGAUGAACCCUGGGUAUGUAGGGCAAGAAAAGAGAAACUUUGGUUAUUUUGACACCGGGUUACCUUCUUUUCCUCUACCGGUCCGACUAGUGUAAGGAAGAGAGUUCGGAAGACUUUUAUGCAUCCUCCCUAUGUGGUCCAGCAUCCUCCCAUGCUCAGGGGCGCCCCUAAAUGACAGAACAGGAGACAGUGGAUAGCGGUUGUUCAACAGGAGCUGAACAGACAAAGCAAGGCAGGGCAGAGGAACAAAGAGCAACAGGUACAAAGCGAGAAAAGUCUUUUCCCAGGGUUUCCAUAGGUCACUAGUAACACCUACUCUCUUCUGUGAUGACAGAGGAUUUGCCGGGGAAUAAACUGAGGUAUUUACAGGUAAAAUAUACCUCUCACUUGGCUUCUGCUCUAAAAGCCACCAGCUACUUUCUUAACUAGAAAGAGGUAGCAAGAUACACGCAUGAAGUUAAAGGAAAGAAGCAGCACAGUCCAUAUUCCGCAGGAAGAUUCCUUUAUAACGGCGAAUUUAAUAAUACACAGUACUAGAGCAGGGCCUCGGUCAUAGGCCAUAGGAGGCAGUAAGGAAGCAGGUCUGAGAGGGACCAACACAUUCCAGGGCUCACGUUACAGUAACACUCACGCCACGCACCUCCCUGAAGCUCGGCCCACCCACCAGUUCAGUCAAGAACCGUGUCACUUUUAAUUCUUCAUUUUUGGCCACGGACGAUAAAAUCCACCAUGAUGACAGCAUUUCAGCACAACAGUCUCUUUCCAGUCACAAUAGAAAUGGAUGUCCCAGCUCUUGAGAAACAAAGUUCAUCUGAUUUCUCUUGCCAGGACCGGAGAGAGAAUUUUUUCUUAGUGGUCUGUUGAAAUAUUUAUAUAUACUUAAAAAAAAAAACCCCACUAACAGUCCAUUCUGUGCUCUGUUUCCCUGGAAUAUUUCUCAUGAUCACCCCUCCAAUAGCUAGAGGGGUUGUGUGUCUGGGAAUAAAGAAUUAAGAUGCUUCAAAACAAGCAAAAACCCUAGUGCAACACUCAGUAGAUGGUGGGCUCAAGGGGGUUGGUAGGGGAGGGAAGCAGGUGCUCUAUUUCUGGGCAGGGAAAGCCAAGUGCUCGCAUAGACGGAAGCAUCAACAAGCAGGAAACACUGGGGAAGGCCCAUCUCCUUCCGUGUUCCCCCUGUAUGAGGGCCAUCGCGUCACCUGCACUUGGACUUCUGAGGUCUGAGGCCCGUACCCCCCACCUGCCACCCAUCCAUGACCUGCAUGCUAAGCUGGGUGGUCUCUGACCACGACAGGCCUAGGCAAGGAAUUGGGAUCCGACUCUGGAGGGCCCAGGGAGAUCCUCCACAGGCUAUCCCAAGCGAGAAGUACCUGGGAAGCUCACUUGCCCCAGCAGCUGAGGGGCAUGAAGGCUUCGAAGGCUCGGAAAGAAGCAGCAAAAGGUGACUAGCAACGCAGUGGCCUUGGACAUGGCUCGGUUUUGUGGGGAAGACCUGCUGCCACUGCCACCUGAUUCUGUGCUGGGGACAGACUGUGCAGGUCUUCACAGCCAGCAGCAGCCUGAAUACACUCCAUGUUCCUUUCAUAUGUAUAUACAGGUGUGUGUGUGUGUGUUAUAUGUACGUGUGUGUGUGUGUGUGU